Molecule: ribosomal RNA, 576 nt
Filed under: Wolbachia endosymbiont of Bemisia tabaci
Lineage: Bacteria; Pseudomonadati; Pseudomonadota; Alphaproteobacteria; Rickettsiales; Anaplasmataceae
Description: bacterial SSU rRNA
Rfam family: Bacterial small subunit ribosomal RNA
Source: RNAcentral
UGGUGGAGUAAUAGCCUACCAAGGCAAUGAUCUAUAGCUGAUCUGAGAGGAUGAUCAGCCACACUGGAACUGAGAUACGGUCCAGACUCCUACGGGAGGCAGCAGUGGGGAAUAUUGGACAAUGGGCGAAAGCCUGAUCCAGCCAUGCCGCAUGAGUGAAGAAGGCCUUUGGGUUGUAAAGCUCUUUUAGUGAGGAAGAUAAUGACGGUACUCACAGAAGAAGUCCUGGCUAACUCCGUGCCAGCAGCCGCGGUAAUACGGAGAGGGCUAGCGUUAUUCGGAAUUAUUGGGCGUAAAGGGCGCGUAGGCUGAUUAAUAAGUUAAAAGUGAAAUCCCGAGGCUUAACCUUGGAAUUGCUUUUAAAACUAUUAAUCUAGAGAUUGAAAGAGGAUAGAGGAAUUCCUGAUGUAGAGGUAAAAUUCGUAAAUAUUAGGAGGAACACCAGUGGCGAAGGCGUCUAUCUGGUUCAAAUCUGACGCUGAAGCGCGAAGGCGUGGGGAGCAAACAGGAUUAGAUACCCUGGUAGUCCACGCUGUAAACGAUGAAUGUUAAAUAUGGGAAGUUUACUUUCUGUAU